RNAcentral lists this long non-coding RNA (811 nucleotides) under Mytilus galloprovincialis (Mediterranean mussel). Lineage: Eukaryota; Metazoa; Mollusca; Bivalvia; Mytilida; Mytilidae. The record is from RNAcentral.
AAAAAAAUUCAAAAAAUAACUUGAUUUUUGAUUUUGGCGGAGUUCAGGUAGAUACAGUUACUAGUCAUAAACAUUUAGGCAUAUUUUUUAGCAGUGACUGUAAGUGGACCAAGCAUGUUGAUUCUUUAAUAGAAAAGGUAUCAAAACAAUUAAAUGUUCUUAGACGUUUGAAAUUCCGACUAAAAAGGGAAUAUUUAGAAAAAAUAUAUUUAACUUUUAUAAGGCCUGUUCUAGAAUAUUCUUCUGAAGUUUGGGAUAAUUGCGGACAGUUGAAUUCUGAAAGAUUAGAAAAAUUACAACUGGAAGCAGCACGUAUUGUCACUGGUCUAACAAGCUAUGCUAGCACUCAAUCACUUUAUUUAGAGACGGGAUGGGAAAAAUUAAAGAUUAGACGGGAAGUUAAGAAAUUAACUUUAUUUUACAAAAUUAUGAAAGAGGACGCCCCAGAAUACUUAUUAGAUUUAAUACCCCCUACAGUUGCAGAAACAAACAAUUACAAUCUACGAAGCAGUCAAAAUAUAUACCAAACCUCUAGCAGACUGUCUCUUUAUCAGGAAUCAUUUAUUCCAUCUAGUAUCAAACUGUGGAAUUCGCUCGAUUUAAGUAUUAGAAAUGAACUUUCUUUAAAUAUGUUUAAAUUAAAAAUUAAACAGAAAUAUUAUAAAAACAAAUCACCCCUACAUAUUUCAAUACCCCCCCCUACAUAUUUCAAUAUUGGCGAUAGAUAUUUAAAUGUUUUACACGCAAGAUUAAGAAACAAAUGCAGUGCCCUUAACAUGGAUCUGUAUCACGCAAAUAUUAAACCUAACGC